UAGGGUUUGAUCAUGGCUCAGAUUGAACGCUGGCGGAAUGCUUUACACAUGCAAGUCGAACGGCAGCACGGACUUCGGUCUGGUGGCGAGUGGCGAACGGGUGAGUAAUAUAUCGGAACGUGCCCAGUCGUGGGGGAUAACGUAGUGAAAAUUACGCUAAUACCGCAUACGAUCUAAGGAUGAAAGCGGGGGAUCGCAAGACCUCGCGCGAUUGGAGCGGCCGAUAUCAGAUUAGGUAGUUGGUGAGGUAAAGGCUCACCAAGCCAACGAUCUGUAGCUGGUCUGAGAGGACGACCAGCCACACUGGAACUGAGACACGGUCCAGACUCCUACGGGAGGCAGCAGUGGGGAAUUUUGGACAAUGGACGCAAGUCUGAUCCAGCCAUUCCGCGUGCAGGACGAAGGCCUUCGGGUUGUAAACUGCUUUUGUACAGAACGAAAAGGUCUCUAUUAAUACUAGGGGCUCAUGACGGUACUGUAAGAAUAAGCACCGGCUAACUACGUGCCAGCCGCCGCGGUAAUUC
Molecule: ribosomal RNA, 524 nt
Filed under: uncultured Limnohabitans sp.
Lineage: Bacteria; Pseudomonadati; Pseudomonadota; Betaproteobacteria; Burkholderiales; Comamonadaceae
Description: bacterial SSU rRNA
Rfam family: Bacterial small subunit ribosomal RNA
Source: RNAcentral